UGGCCGAGCAGUGGAUGAAGUUCGGUUGGCCCAAAACCUAGCAAAAGCAAGCGAGGUUAUUCUAUCGCCGAAAUGCUGGGAACUCUGUAACAGGAACAUGAUAGAAAUAGAAACAAUUAAAGAUCAAAGAUCUGUUAAGGCUAGAUACAUAAAGAACAUCUCUGAGAUUGAGUUCGACGAGUUCUUCUGGAAAUGUACUGAAUACCUACAGCACUACCCCACGGGUGAAAGUAACAGUAUCCUCAGAGCAACCUCCACAUUGUCUCCUAAUGAUGAGCUGGAGAAGUCCCUCCGGAAGUAUGUGAUGAGAAACAUUCUGGAGAAG
Non-coding RNA from Chrysemys picta bellii (western painted turtle), 325 nucleotides. The record is from RefSeq and is a predicted model, not a curated record. Lineage: Eukaryota; Metazoa; Chordata; Testudines; Emydidae.